UUAAUGAGGCGAGGAGGAAGCUCCCUCUUGCUGAGGAGCAGACAGACCUCCAGUCUGAGGCGGAAGCCAUUGAAAGGCCUCAAAGAAGAAUUAAGCCAAGCAUAUGUCCAGGACCGGGCCUCAUCAGAGGAUGAAGCCCAGACCCCUGGAAGAGGGCUUCCCCCACCCCCAGCCAUCCCCCCAGUGAGGAGAAGGUUCAUCCUCCCCAAUAACCUGUACCUCUGCCUGACCUGACCAAUUACCAGCAUGUCAUGACCCUGGGGACAUCAUUGCGGCAGGCCAUUGACCUGCAGGGUCACCAGGGAACCCAGGGGGUUCCAGUUCCAAC
Nothobranchius furzeri (turquoise killifish) is the source of this 328-nucleotide non-coding RNA. Lineage: Eukaryota; Metazoa; Chordata; Actinopteri; Cyprinodontiformes; Nothobranchiidae. The record is from RefSeq and is a predicted model, not a curated record.